AUAAAUUGCAUUAUGUAAUUGUUGGUCCCAUAUAAUUACUUUUCAAACAGAUUGUUCCCCAAACACAAAUUAUAUAUAUUUCUAAACAUGUUUUCCUCUUAAAGCCCAAACUGAUAGGAAAAGAAAAAAAAAAGAUUUUGGAGAUUUGUAAAGAGAAUUGAUAAUGAGAGAUGACUAUAAUUUUUCAUAUUUGUGUCCGGUCCAAUAUAGAUUUUUUAAACUGAAUAGUCUUCAACAGAUUUUCAGAACUAUCAUUUUCACCUUAGUCGCU
This 271-nucleotide long non-coding RNA is filed under the name Capsella rubella. Its description in RNAcentral is "long non-coding RNA (CRUB_LNC003221)". Lineage: Eukaryota; Viridiplantae; Streptophyta; Magnoliopsida; Brassicales; Brassicaceae. The record is from RNAcentral.